This 506-nucleotide ribosomal RNA is filed under the name uncultured bacterium. RNAcentral describes it as "bacterial SSU rRNA". It matches the Rfam family "Bacterial small subunit ribosomal RNA", at positions 18 to 518 of the family's 1533-position model. The record is from RNAcentral.
UCUGGCUCAGGAUGAACGCUAGCGGCAGGCUUAACACAUGCAAGUCGAGGGGCAUCGGGAGUAGCAAUACUUGCCGGCGACCGGCGCAAGGGUGCGUAACGCGUGAGCAACAUGCCCGUAUCAGGGGGAUAAUCCAUGGAAACGUGGUCUAAUACCCCAUAGUAAUUAUGUAAGGCAUCUUAUAUAAUUUAAAGCUUUGGUGGAUACGGAUUGGCUCGCGUGACAUUAGCUGGAUGGUAAGGUAACGGCUUACCAUGGCUACGAUGUCUAGGGGUUCUGAGAGGAAGGUCCCCCACACUGGAACUGAGACACGGUCCAGACUCCUACGGGAGGCAGCAGUGAGGAAUAUUGGACAAUGGAUGGAAAUCUGAUCCAGCCAUGCCGCGUGCAAGGAAGACGGCCCUAUGGGUUGUAAACUGCUUUUGUAUGGGAGCAAUAAGGGCUACGUGUAGUCCGAUGAGAGUACCAUACGAAUAAGCACCGGCUAACUCCGUGCCAGCCGCUGC